Molecule: long non-coding RNA, 440 nt
Organism: Helianthus annuus (common sunflower)
Lineage: Eukaryota; Viridiplantae; Streptophyta; Magnoliopsida; Asterales; Asteraceae
Exons: 2
Source: RefSeq, a predicted model, not a curated record
UGGCCGGUUCUUGGAAUCGUGAUACUUGCUGCGGUUGUCGUCGGAAGUCAAGCUAUCAUCACCGGGACGUUUUCUAUUAUCAAACAGUGUUCGGCAUUGGGUUGUUUCUCGAAGGUCAAAAUAAUCGACACAUCGCCUACUAAUAAGCACGAUCAAAUCUACAUUCCCGAGAUCAAUUGGACUUUGAUGCUUAGCCAUCACAACCGGUUUUCGUGACACCAAACAUAUAAGCAAUGCAGCAGGUAGACAAAGGUAGUAGGUGUCGAUCUUCUUACCAGGGAUGUUGCGUGGAACUGUAACAAAUAGAUGCUGACCAAAAGAGUGCUUGUCCUCUAAAUAAGAUAAAAAUCAUGUUCUUUUUUAUGCUACAUCAAAUUAGAAUAUUCAGUAAUCUACAUUAUAGAAAAUCACAUAGUUACAUCGUUGAUUUUUUGUCUUUA